Molecule: ribosomal RNA, 253 nt
Filed under: uncultured bacterium
Lineage: Bacteria
Description: partial 16S ribosomal RNA
Rfam family: Bacterial small subunit ribosomal RNA
Source: RNAcentral
UACGAAGGGUGCAAGCGUUACUCGGAAUUACUGGGCGUAAAGCGUGCGUAGGUGGUUCGUUAAGUCUGAUGUGAAAGCCCUGGGCUCAACCUGGGAAUGGCAUUGGAUACUGGCGACCUAGAGUCCGGUAGGGGAGUGUGGAAUUCCCGGUGUAGCGGUGAAAUGCGCAGAUAUCGGGAGGAACACCAGUAGCGAAGGCGGCACUCUGGGCCGGUACUGACGCUGAGGAGCGAAAGCGUGGGGAGCGAACAGG